GGAAUCUUCCGCAAUGGACGAAAGUCUGACGGAGCAACGCCGCGUGAGUGAUGAAGGUUUUCGGAUCGUAAAGCUCUGUUGCCAGGGAAGAACGCCAAGGAGAGUAACUGCUCUUUGGGUGACGGUACCUGAGAAGAAAGCCCCGGCUAACUACGUGCCAGCAGCCGCGGUAAUACGUAGGGGGCAAGCGUUGUCCGGAAUUAUUGGGCGUAAAGCGCGCGCAGGCGGUCAUUUAAGUUUGGUGUUUAAGCCCAGGGCUCAACCCUGGUACGCACUGAAAACUGGAUGGCUUGAGUGCAGAAGAGGAGAGUGGAAUUCCACGUGUAGCGGUGAAAUGCGUAGAGAUGUGGAGGAACACCAGUGGCGAAGGCGACUCCCUGGUCUGUAACUGACGCUGAGGCGCGAAAGCGUGGGGAGCAAA
This 421-nucleotide ribosomal RNA is filed under the name uncultured bacterium. RNAcentral's name for it is "bacterial SSU rRNA". It matches the Rfam family "Bacterial small subunit ribosomal RNA", at positions 358 to 772 of the family's 1533-position model. The record is from RNAcentral.